Molecule: transfer RNA, 65 nt
Filed under: Geoscapheus rugulosus
Lineage: Eukaryota; Metazoa; Arthropoda; Insecta; Blattodea; Blaberidae
Description: tRNA-Leu
Rfam family: tRNA
About the family: Transfer RNA (tRNA) molecules are approximately 80 nucleotides in length. Their secondary structure includes four short double-helical elements and three loops (D, anti-codon, and T loops).
Source: RNAcentral
ACUAUUUUGGCAGAUAAGUGCAUUAGAUUUAGAAUCUAUAAAUGUGAUUUGAAUUACAGAUAGUA